CACCACGAUAGGGUUUGUAUUGUGUCGUCUUUGUAAUUUUAGUCCCGUACGUAGCAGAAUGCACCUUGCACGAAUAUUUCACCGGGCUAGCGCCUAUAGAUGCCGUUGAUUCUAGCUGCUAUGAACUUGCAGCUUCAUGGAGUAGCUAGCUGGAAAAUUGAUCUGUUAAGAAGGAAUUUUUAUUUAUUGGUAGAUUAUAUACAGUGUUUAAUUUCACAAUAUAAGAAAUUUUCAUCUUUUUAUAAGCUUUGCUUUGGUAGUUGUAUUUGGGCCAUUUGGCCUUGUAAUGGCCCUUAAAUUUAGGACUCAAAAAACAAUUAUAUUGUGCAUU
This is a long non-coding RNA of Ipomoea nil (Japanese morning glory), 331 nucleotides long. RefSeq lists it as uncharacterized. The transcript has 3 exons. Lineage: Eukaryota; Viridiplantae; Streptophyta; Magnoliopsida; Solanales; Convolvulaceae. The record is from RefSeq and is a predicted model, not a curated record.